RNAcentral lists this long non-coding RNA (1260 nucleotides) under Calidris pugnax (ruff). RNAcentral's name for it is "lncRNA (ENSCPUG00000004676.1)". The record is from RNAcentral. Lineage: Eukaryota; Metazoa; Chordata; Aves; Charadriiformes; Scolopacidae.
GCCCUCAUCUUUGCCUAAUGAUAUGGAUAUUCCUUUUCCUAUUAAAUCCCAUCUGUAAUAUAUAUUUUUUCAUUAUACCUCACCAUAUUGUAACUUAAUUAGCUCCUUCCUCCCCACCUCCCCCCCAACCCCAACCUGUGCAUUGCUGAUAAGACAUGCCUGGUUAGCUUUGGGUCUUGGACUCACAGGAGGUCUCAUAUGCAAUCAGGAGUGGGUUGUGGCUGGGAACUGAGCUAUCUGGUGGCACUAGUCCAUCAGUGUGGGGGGUACGAGCUUACCUGCCAGGGAGCGCGGUGUGUGAGUUAACUGCCUGCACCUUUAUUUUAAGGAUUUUGAGCCAACAUGUUGGUUUGACUGAUGUGAUUUGGUGAGACAUUUCGAAUAGGAUUGGGGUGGGCAUGUUUCCUUUUGAAAACAGGGCUUCAGGAUCAGUGUAUCUCAGCAGUUAAUAGAGUAGUGCUGGUAGUUAAUUAAUUAAUCCCAACAUUAAAAGUCUUCUCCUGAGGUGUUUGUCCAUUUCUGCAAGUCUCAUAUCUUUCAAGGGUGCAUUAUUUUGACAAACUGAAGUAUUUUAUAUUUUAAGUUCAUGAUCAAGCUGAAAGCUGUCUUUGCUUAUAAUCCCACCUUUGUUAUUUUAGCAACUGCUGGAGUUGAAAAAAAGAGCAUUACUGUUUUAUUGCAUGUGUAAGACUGAAUCCUGGGGAAAUCUAGAAUGCAACACUGACAGCCCAGUUAAAGGAAACAAUUAGUGUAGCAUGCAUCUCUGAAUCUCAUCAUUAAGCAUAAACCUUGUUUUGGUCUUUGAAGAGACUGAAGAAGUACAGAGAUUGGAAAACUCCAAAAUGCGAAGAAUUUUGGGUUAAAGUUUCCCAUGUGUCUCCAGCUGUGUUCCUGCCUUCAGCACAGGUCUAGGAGCCGUCCUGGAAACAGUCCCAGGGCAAGAGAGCUCCUGGGACCUGUGCCUGUCUGCAAGCAAAGAAGAAGGAAAAGUCUUUGGUAUCUUCCCUGGCAUGUUUAUUCCUACCUUUUAUUCCAGCAAACACAUCACUUCUUGCGUGUUCCCCUGUGACCCAAGUAUUGGAUGGAACUGAGAGUGAUCUAGGAUUCCAAAUCUACCUUAUGCCUAGGUUUCUUCAUUCAAGCUUACUUGGACUAGGUGGAUAUUUCUCAGAGAAUGGGCCAUUCUCCUUUAUACUAGGAAAAAAUAAUAUGGAGGUUGUAAAUUACAAAUAAAUACUGACAAUUCCAUUUUGUGUUACA